CAAAAAAACUACUUUCUCUUU
Molecule: non-coding RNA, 21 nt
Filed under: Caenorhabditis elegans
Lineage: Eukaryota; Metazoa; Nematoda; Chromadorea; Rhabditida; Rhabditidae
Source: RNAcentral